CCUGAGAAACCCAAAAGUACGAAUGGGGAGAUUCAGCGUCAGCUUAUUUUGUAUAUAUCCAAGUUAUGAUAUGGGUUACUGCUUGUGCAUCACUUGUGGGUGUCUGGCUAGUAUUGCUCGUACAUUCUUGUUUAUUUUAUUGCAAAAUACUGGUCGGCGUGCAUUUCUCCCCUAGUAGAACGUCGCGACCCGUUGAGUUAUAAUGUUAAUCUACGGCCCGAGUUGGUAGCUUUUUAUAUGAUUUUUGUCAAAGGAAAUUAUAUAGAAAACCACUUGGUGUUUAUUCCUGAUUAACGCUCGGCGGUAAUUUAAAAUAUAUAUGGUAUUGAGCCGCAUAUUAUUAUGCGUCCAUAUCCAUUACAAGCAAGAUUAAUUAUUAACAGUACGGACUCUGUUGCCGUCGUUGAUAUUAAUCGGCUGUUGGUUUAAUGGAAUUCUAGGACCGGCUUAAAAAUAAUAAUCAUACCAGUCAGCGAUGCUACUGCUUUGGG
This 491-nucleotide ribosomal RNA is filed under the name Tropobracon sp. Its description in RNAcentral is "eukaryotic LSU rRNA". Lineage: Eukaryota; Metazoa; Arthropoda; Insecta; Hymenoptera; Braconidae. The record is from RNAcentral.